RNAcentral lists this long non-coding RNA (2242 nucleotides) under Homo sapiens (human). RNAcentral's name for it is "HSALNT0367318". Lineage: Eukaryota; Metazoa; Chordata; Mammalia; Primates; Hominidae. The record is from RNAcentral.
CACAGUCAUAGCUCACUGCAACCUCAGCCUUCCACAUUUGGAAGCUAGGAAUUCCAGUGAUCGCACAGGAUUCUGGGAGCCACAGUCCCAUUUUUGCUGAACUCCUGGCCUCAAGAGAUCCUCCUGCCUCGGCCUCCCAAAGUGCCAGGAUUACGGGAUCAUUGCCAGCAGAACAUCCUACACCAAUGGCUCUUUGGGCAGGAUCUUGGCUGUGCUUUGUCUGUCUAGCUUCAUGCCUAAGUUUGCCAAGAGCCCUGAUCCAGGUGAAGUGUGUAAACCUUGCACGUGGAAUUCCCAGCAAAGAAGCUGUAGGGAUCGGGAUAGGGCCUGGGAAGUGUCUGACUUACAGAAACCCACCAUGUCUUGUUCUCUGCUGGAGACCUCUGCUUCUCCAUCUUGUGAACAUCCACAGGCCCCCUGCACCGUAAUCUUGCCCUCUUACUGUUGACUCAGUCCUCAUGGAAGUUAUAAAAGAACUUGUGUGGAUUAGCUUGCUAAAUACAUCCAAGAUUUGAAGAACUGAAAACAAAAUCAGUAUUAAACCUGCUUUUUAAAAAUGCACCCUUGCAGGGUAACAGUUAACACUUCCGUGGUCUGGAUGAGGAUACGAGAGAGAUGCUCUUCCUGGCAUGGAUGUAAAUAAGAGAUUGGAACCUCCUGGAUUGUGUUCAUAAGAGGAAUGUGAUCCUCAUCCUUCUAAACUUUGUCUGGAGUCACAGAAAGCAAGGAAGUUAGAGAAACAUCCUGUCACACAGCUUUGGUACCUGUGUGGGGAGCUAAGAGAUCUGAUGUCCAGUUCCUUCCAGUCCUUUAAUGAAUUUCCUCUGUGUCCAUGAGCUAUCUAACAUCCAUGGGAAACAGUUGAUCUUAUGCCAACCAAGGGGCAUGGACCAGAUGCUCUCAAGAGUCUCUCAGUCAGCUCUUUGCUGAGGGACCUUAUGCAUGGAGGAAAGUGCACACAUCGCUAAGUGGAUAGCUUGAUGGAAUAGUUGUUACAAAAUGGACACACUUCUGCAAUCAGCACCUUGAUUAGUAGAAAAUUACCAGCACCCCAGAGCCCUCCUCCCCUCAUGCUCCAGGAGCAACCGGUAUGCUGCCUUGUGAUGCCUUUGUUUAGUUUGUUUUUAUGAAUAGAAUCAUACAGUGAAUAUUCUUUUGUGUCUAGCUUGUUUUACUUAUUAUGUUUGUGAGAUCUACAAUAUUGUAUACAAUACUUUUUUUGCAUUCUCUUUGCUCUAAUGCUAUUCAAUUGUAUAGCGAUUUUACAGUUGCUGGACAUUUACGUAGUCUCUUGCUUGGGCAUAUUACUAAUAGUGCUCCUAUGAAUGUGUUGUGCAUAUCUUUUCAUUAUGAUCGUAUUUUGUUUGUUCAGGGACUAAAGUCAUUUUGAUUCGGUGGCACUUUGGAUUGAUGUUGAACUUUAGGUAGCCAAGUGAUUUGUCUGCUUCAAUGUGAUGUUCCAAGGUGCUUACUCAACAGGAUCAGAUGAAGAUGUUUUUGUAGAUUACUCUUGUGGGGUGUGGCCAGGUGGAAGCCCUCUCUGAUAUGUGAGUGGUGUGGUGAGGCUUAUUGUCCUGGCAGAGAAGGGUUUUGAUUGCAUGGUACAGGAAGGGACUAUGUAGGGGAAGGGGAAAUAGAUCCAGAAGAGAGAUGUGUCUGGAUUCCCAUAGAAACUGUCAGGAUAUCUUACCAAUCAGAUCAAGAACCUGGAAAAGUAAGAGCCCCAGGGAAGACUCAGCUUGUGAGACCCGAUGUGUCUAGGGAGACGAAUAGAGAAAGAAAAAUUGAGGCAGGCCUGAACUCAGAAGGAGCUCUCAAAGAAUUUUCUGAACAAAUUCAUUAAGCCUAACUUGUUUUAAGGAAGCUUUGAAAAACCAGUCCCUAAAAGUAUGAAUCUUGAGCCAAGAAUGAACUUAAAGUAUAGAACUAGGAAAAAAUGUAUUUUCCCAAACAAAUAUGGGAUGUGAGCAUGUGGGCUUUGCCUUAAGACCUUUCUGCAUUCAGAUCACAAUUCCACCACUUUCUUGUCUCAUGACCUUUCUGGGUCAGCUUCCACAUCUGUAAAAUGGGGUGGUAAAAUCUCCACCUCUAAGAUGCCCCCAAAAUCUGCUGUAACAAUUGACUACAAUAGUGUUAGUAUUAUGCUUCAGGGCACAUAGACCUAGCACUAAAAAUGAUAGUCAUUUUAUUUCUCAUUCUUGUUACUAAGGUUACCCAUUUGUAUCUGAUACUUUAUGAGAGU